RNAcentral lists this long non-coding RNA (3511 nucleotides) under Anser brachyrhynchus (Pink-footed goose). Its description in RNAcentral is "lncRNA (ENSABRG00000002546.1)". The record is from RNAcentral. Lineage: Eukaryota; Metazoa; Chordata; Aves; Anseriformes; Anatidae.
UUGGGGGGGGCUGUACGGGGGGCCGGGGGGCUGCAGGAGGGCCCCGGGGGGCUGCAGGGGGGGGCUGCGCUGCUGCGGGAGGAGGGCGGGUGCGGGUGCGUGCGAGGCAGAAGCGGCAAAGGGACAGCGAGGGAGGGGGACCCAGAGACGCGAUGUAUUCCUGGGGAUGUGCUGCACGGCUUAUCUGCAUUCGAAGGCUGCCCGGAGCGCCUCUUUAAAAUAAAUAGGAGGGAAAAGGCAUCCCGGUGCUCCUUCACGUGGGAUAGGAGGGAGCUCUGGGCGUCAGAGCCAUCGAGCCACAUAUUUAGCCACGAAUCCCUCCGUUCUCCACCCUUUGCUCGCACACGCGCAGGCCGGGCCCAGCCAGCCAGCCCUCAGCACACGGCAGCCACCCGCUGGGACAUUCCCAGGGAGGUCACUGCCAGCACUGCCAGGCUCGCCUGCACCCCCCGCACCACGCCGAGCAGCUACAAACCCUGCCUGCAGGAGGAUCGGACAGCGGGGUGGUUAACGCUCACCGCUCGCUCCGCGCUAAAUCCCAUCUCCGUUUUCCUGGCAGCAAAAACGCAGCCUGCGUGGCCGCGGCCAAGUCACGUAACUCACAGCUGCCCCGGGACCCAUCCCUGUCGCGUGCAUCUGUGCGGAGAGCAAGCAGCCAGGUCAGAGUCCAACCCUCCUUUGCUGGGAUGGGGAGAAAUCAACCCCCCUUUCCUGGCCUGAGGGCCGCUAGCAGGUAGCCAGGCCCAGGUUUAGGCUGUGCCCGCACCGAAGCAGCGAGGACGACGGCACAGAUGUGCAGCCCCCCGAGCAGGUACAUCAGGCUGCAGGAGAAAUGAGGCCACGAGCAACCAGCAGAUGGCUGGAGACCACAGAAAAGCACCACUGCUGCUCUGCAGGUUUCCCUAGCACCUCCUUUAUCCAGAGACGUUCGGUUCCUCCUCCUUGCUACUGCACAGGGAGCUGUGGCUCCGGUUCGGGGAUGGGAAGUGGAUGCUUUGCACCACCUCAUGUUGAACCUUGGAAUUUCACAGCCUCAUCCAAAUUUCUGCUCUCUCCCAUGCUGAGCAAACCACAGGCCUCACCGACUUGCCCCAGAACAGGCUCUUCUGGCUCCACAUCCACUUGCCCAACGCCUCUUCAGGAACUGGUGACGAUGUUGUGCGCUUCAUUAAGGCUUUAUUGUUCAGCGUCCUCCUGCAGAAGCACCAGCAGCAGGGCUGAGCUGCCCCCACAGCACGCGAAACGCUGCUGGAGAGCACGGCGCAUCCCUGCGCACAAGCCACCCCAAAUGCUUUCUCAACCCAGCUCCUCAAGGAGGGUCAAAGGACUGGAUUGGCACCACCACACUGGUGAGCAGCCCCAUCCUUCUGCCUCCCCUGCGAGCCCAGGAGGGGAAGUUCUCACCUUGAGAGUGUUUGGAGUCAGGGUUUGAUAGGCAAGGACUGUCUCACCAGGUUUUAAGCCAUCUUCGGAGCAUCUCCAGUUUUUGAGGGGCGCAUUUUCAUCCUCACACCAUCCCAGCGAGCUGCAGGUGAAGCAGUUCGCUCAAAGGCAACACGAGCAUUUGCAAACUCAGCCCUUACCAAGGAGGAGCCCUCUCUGGGGAGAGCCCUCCACUCUCCUGUCAAGGAAGGGCUCUGCAGGAGGAAGGUGAGAUGUUGCAGGGGAGAGCCCGGACUGUUCUCACAGCAGGAAGGCUGGACUCGUCCCCAGUUCUGCUUCCUUCUCCUCCUGCCCCGAUUCAGCCACCCUCCCUCACUCCCCCAAAGGAUGGGACAAGGCACUUAAGACACCCGUUCACUGGGAGCCAGCACGGGAGGAGACGUGCCACUGGAGCUGGAGCAGGAAACCCUGCAACAACAUCUGCAAGUGCUGCUCCUUGUUUUUGAAGCUCCUGGGUGUCUCCAGACCCUCCCCUUGCAGCGAGAAGCCCCAGUCCUUCGCCAUUCCCAGACGGGGCGGGUGCGUUGCACAACGCAGCCCAGCCAGGGUCGCCAGCAGAGCCCACGUGCUGCCCUCUGUGCUUGCAGAGGAACCUGAAGCAACACCUCCUUGUGGAAUAGGUUUUUAAAGGCCCCAAGGGGACUGCAGCAGCUGGGACCCCCCCACACCAAAACAAAGCGUGAGUUCACAAGCUCCCCAGUCUGUAUUUCUUGUUUCACCACGCCUUCGCUUCCCCCACAGUGCCUCCAGGGUGAAACUACUCAGCUAGCUGAAUGGGUUCAGCUUCACAGGCCUUCCACCAGGGCAAGCUUUGCAGGGGAGACCAGAGAAAGCACCGGUGCUCACUGUUUUUCCCACUCUAGGUUAUAGGAGCUCCCGGCAUGACCGUCAAACCCAGCAGCCACCCCAGUGCUGGGUGGCACAAGGGCAACAGCCACCCCAGCCAGGGCUGGAGGAGCCUCUGCUGCUUCUGUGCCACGCAGCUCCUUAUCCACCUGGAGCACAGAAUGGCUUCACGUGGCAAUUUUUUAUUUCCCCCUGCCCCUUUCAGUUGGUUUCUAAGCCUAGGAAGUGGCUUAUGGAACCUACACAGGGAUCAUCGAGAUACAGAGCUGCGUACCCGAAAGGGCAGCCCCUGCUGCUUGCAUGUCACCGCAACCACCUUCUGCUGCCCUUCCCAACUCUGCAGGGCUCCCUCACCACCCGCUGUGCUGGGUUUUCACCUCUGCAGCCAUUUCGAGUGCAACACUUCACCGGGGCUUAAGAAAAACCCAGCUAGAGCCUCCUUUUGGAGAGCAAAGAGAAUUAUUGCAUGGAAACCCUGACAAAGGGUCCCAGGGAAAGAAAUGCCCAGGAUCACGUAGUUAAAAAGCAUCUCACCAUGCAUGUGCACGAGGGGACUUCAUGUAGGUUGGAAAGCUCUGUUUCAAGCUGAUUCUUGCAGCACUGGAAACAUGUCUUUAAAAACAGCGGUCAAACAACCCCUGGCCCAGCAUUCACAUCGAGUGAAAAGGCGGAGGGAGCUGGGUCAGCACAGCCCUCUUGCUGUGGUGCAAAGCAGCUGUAAGGGCUCCUAGCUGCAGGGAGGAGUUGUACAAGCUCUCCGUCAGCAUCCUAAAGCACCUGGCAGCAAAAAGAUGCAAGUGACUGCCAGCUGCAGGGCAUUUAAAGGUUGGCAAUUAGCUACAACAGGAGAUGAGCAGUUCUCAGGCCGUGAACCCCUCUGCAGAGGAGCUCCACGCACCGCCUUGAGCGAGGCUCUCCGUGGUGCCAGAGCCACCCGAGCCACAGCUGGUUUAACUGCUUAACCUCGCCUCCUCCGUGCCAGUCCUUAGUGAACCUCUUGGCUGUGCUUGCAGAGGGCGCGAGUCCCCUGCCCUGAGCUUGCUGAUCCACCCCACAAGUGACGUUAGCGUUGGUGCCCGAGCUGAGUCUGCGCUGUCCACCCGCCGCAGCCCUCUCAGCCCCCAGACCACCCAGCUUUGCACCCAAGGAGAUGUUGUGUGGGCCAAAGCCAACCGAUUCAGCAGGAAAUAAAACCAGAGCAAAGCAUAUGAGAUGUUCCUGG